GAUGAACGCUAGCUACAGGCUUAACACAUGCAAGUCGAGGGGCAGCAUAGAUGCAGCAAUGUAUUUGAUGGCGACCGGCGCACGGGUGAGUAACACGUAUCCAACCUUCCAUUAACAUGGGGAUAGCCUUCUGAAAGGAAGAUUAAUACCCAAUAGUAUCAUAUCACCGCAUGAUGAUAUGAUUAAAGAAUUUCGGUAAACGAUGGGGAUGCGUUCCAUUAGCUUGUUGGUGAGGUAACGGCUCACCAAGGCAUCGAUGGAUAGGGGUUCUGAGAGGAAGGUCCCCCACACUGGUACUGAGACACGGACCAGACUCCUACGGGAGGCAGCAGUGAGGAAUAUUGGUCAAUGGACGAGAGUCUGAACCAGCCAAGUAGCGUGAAGGAUGAAGGUUCUAUGGAUUGUAAACUUCUUUUAUGAGGGAAUAAAGUGACCUACGUGUAGGUUUUUGUAUGUACCUUAUGAAUAAGCAUCGGCUAACUCCGUGCCAGCAGCCGCCGUAACAC
Molecule: ribosomal RNA, 506 nt
Filed under: uncultured bacterium
Lineage: Bacteria
Description: bacterial SSU rRNA
Rfam family: Bacterial small subunit ribosomal RNA
Source: RNAcentral